RNAcentral lists this long non-coding RNA (1388 nucleotides) under Homo sapiens (human). Its description in RNAcentral is "novel transcript". Lineage: Eukaryota; Metazoa; Chordata; Mammalia; Primates; Hominidae. The record is from RNAcentral.
GGUGUAUUGACCACCAGGUCCCUCCUCAGCUUUCACCUUCCAGGCCUCGCCCACUCUAUUUUAGAGCCAGGAGCUGGGAACAGCACCUGUUUUUCGUCUCUAAGGAUGGGGUGGGCAUUUUGACGGCGCCCUCUUUCAACCAACCCACGCUAAGGUGUCUGUGUUUCUGCGUUUUCAAGCUCCCCCCAGCCGCCCCGCGCCCCCCGCAUCCCCAUCUCCGUGGCUGAGGGCCUAGGGAGGAGGGAAAAUCCAUCCUCAGACACACUAGAUCCUCAGCGAGACCUGCUGUGGAGAGCAUCAAACGGACCGCACGCGGACCCACCUGCCUUCCAAAGUUUGGGGCGUGAGGAAGCUGAGGCACGUGGCGUUUGGUUAUGGCACAGCUGAGGGGUCUGCAGGAGACCCCAGAAAAUGCCGCUGAGGACGGAUUCACCGACGUCAUCAAAAGCCGCGCUGGUAGGACCCCCGCUGCCUUGCUUUUUAGUGUCUGGGUUAUUCACUGUACCCUGCUACUCUCCGCAGAGGCUGUGCCCUGGAAGUUGGCACGGGUUGGGGAAAGUUGUGGCGCCCAGCAGAGGAGCAGCAGGGGACUGUCAGGGCGCCCCCGCGCGUGGGGAGGGCGGGGAACCACGCAGGGCGCGGCGUUCCAGGGAUAAGGGAGUGCUGCUCUCAGGGAAAGCAGAAACCCAACUUUUCCUUUUAGGCCAAGUGGAUAUCAGUGGGGGGUUUAUUUAUUAUUUUUUAAAGAAAGCCCACUGAAUAUUGAAUUUUGUUAUAGGAUGGUAGGCUGUUUUAAAAAUUAAACACAAAGGAUUGGUCAGAUUGAGUUAAAAUAAAUAUUGUGGUAGCUUGAGGAAGGGAGGGAGGGCCGGCGAAGGACAGCUUGCCUUGUCAGGGCGUGGCCAAGUGCAGAGUUAAGAAAUCUGAGAAGUUUCACCUCAGCUGUGCUGAAGGAAAACGUCAGAGCGCUAGACAGGAAGACUUGCAUGCCCGAGGUACAACUAUACGAGUUGAAAAUCAGUAAAGCAGCAGAAGUGAGGAGUCUAAGGUUUUUGCAGCGCUUCCCACCCCCAUGCACGUGUAAAUUUCAUUUGUAAUAAAUCUUCUGGUGUUUGGUAGUCUGGCCUACAUAUGCAAACUCUUGUAAACCAGGAUACGUUUUUAAAGCUGUAAAUGGAAGCAGCUGUUAAGCUCUCUCUAAGGAUGAAGUUUUUCAGCUGCCUGAGCCCGCUCCUUUCGCCUUUGGACACGCAGCAAAUUGUGGACGUUAAAAUCACAGGACCAUUCAAGAUUUCUUUAUGUACAUUGCUGGAUGCUGAAGAGGACAGAGGUAUGAAGUCACUGUCCAAGUAUAUUUCUGAAGUGAGGUUAAAGGAAAGAUCACAAAA